This 908-nucleotide long non-coding RNA is filed under the name Salmo salar (Atlantic salmon). RNAcentral's name for it is "lncRNA (ENSSSAG00000107010.1)". The record is from RNAcentral. Lineage: Eukaryota; Metazoa; Chordata; Actinopteri; Salmoniformes; Salmonidae.
GGUUAGUUACCUAUGAACGUGGUGGUGUGGUUAGUUACCUAUGAACAAGGUAGUGGUGGUGUGGUUAGUUACCUAUGAACGUGGUGGUGUGUUUAGUUACCUAUGAACGUGGUGGUGUGUUUAGUUACCUAUGAACAAGGUGGUGGUGGUGUGGUUAGUUAACUAUGAACAAGGUAGUGGUGGUGUGGUUAGUUACCUAUGAAAAAGGUAGUGGUGGUGUGGUUAGUUACCUAUGAAUAAGGUGGUGGUGGUGUGGUUAGUUACCUAUGAACAAGGUGGUGUGGUUAUGUUACCUAUGAAUAAGGUAGUGGUGGUGUGGUUAGUAACCUAUGAACAAGGUAGUGGCGGUGUGGUUAGUUACCUAUGAACAAGGUGGUGGUGGUGUGGUUAGUUACCUAUGAAUAAGGUAGUGGUGGUGUGGUUAGUUACCUCUGAAUAAGGUAGUGGUGGUGUGGUUAGUAACCUAUGAACAAGGUAGUGGCGGUGUGGUUAGUUACCUAUGAACAAGGUGGUGGUGUGGUUAGUUACCUAUGAACAAGGUGGUGUGGUUAGUUACCUAUGAACAAGGUGGUGGUGGUGUGGUUAGUUACUUAUGAACAAGGUGGUGUGGUUAGUUACCUAUGAAUAAGGUGGUGGUGGUGUGGAUAGUUACCUACGAACAAGGCGGUGGCGGUGUGGUUAGUUAGCUAUGAACAAGGUAGUGGUGGUGUGGUUAGUUACCUAUGAAGAAGGUAGUGGUGGUGUGAUUAGUUACCUAUUAACAAGGUGGUGGUGUGGUUUGUUACCUAUGAACAAGGUAGUGGUGGUCUGGUUAGUUACCUAUGAAUAAGGCAGUGGUGGUGUGGAUAGUUACCUACGAACAAGGCAGUGGUGGUGUGGUUAGUUACCUACGAACAAGGUAGUGGUGG